UCCGGCUUAUCACCGGCAGUUUCUUUAGAGUGCUCAACUAAAUGGUAGCAACUAAAGACGAGGGUUGCGCUCGUUGCGGGACUUAACCCAACAUCUCACGACACGAGCUGACGACAGCCAUGCAGCACCUGUGUUCUAGCCAGCCUAACUGAAGGAAUCCAUCUCUGGAAACCAUACUAGACAUGUCAAACGCUGGUAAGGUUCUGCGCGUUGCGUCGAAUUAAACCACAUGCUCCACCGCUUGUUCGGGCCCCCGUCAAUUCCUUUGAGUUUUAGCCUUGCGGCCGUACUUCCCAGGCGGAGAACUUAAUGCGUUAGCUACGGCACCGCGAGGGUCAACACCCACGACACCUAGUUCUCAUCGUUUACGGCGUGGACUAC
RNAcentral lists this unclassified non-coding RNA (381 nucleotides) under uncultured Pseudomonadota bacterium. Its description in RNAcentral is "uncultured proteobacterium contains 16S-23S intergenic spacer region". Lineage: Bacteria; Pseudomonadati; Pseudomonadota. The record is from RNAcentral.